Molecule: ribosomal RNA, 318 nt
Filed under: Triticum aestivum (bread wheat)
Lineage: Eukaryota; Viridiplantae; Streptophyta; Magnoliopsida; Poales; Poaceae
Description: partial small subunit ribosomal RNA
Source: RNAcentral
GCCGCACACCCCCUAUGCUUCACUGAUGAAGUAAUGGAUCAUGGAUUCCCAGAAGGGUUUAAACCCAUAAACAUUGAAUCAUAUGAUGGUACCACAGACCUCGCGGUAUGGAUUGAAGAUUUUCUCCUACACAUUCACAUGGCCCGCGGAAAUGAUCUACACGCCAUCAAGUAUCUCCCACUAAAGCUCAAGGGACCAACUCAACAUUGGCUGAAUAGCUUCCCGGCAAACUCCAUCGGUAGCUGGGAGAACAUGGAGGAUGCAUUCCUCGACAACUUCCAAGGCACUUAUGUGCGAUCGCGGAUGCUGAUGACCUAA